Triticum aestivum (bread wheat) is the source of this 1140-nucleotide long non-coding RNA. RefSeq lists it as uncharacterized. Lineage: Eukaryota; Viridiplantae; Streptophyta; Magnoliopsida; Poales; Poaceae. The record is from RefSeq and is a predicted model, not a curated record. The transcript is spliced from 3 exons.
UGCUCUACAGCUCUAGUGGACGGAUGAUACAUUGAGAUAUGGGUUCUCUAGUAUAUUUAUAGAACGCUGAUGGGCAGGACUGCCAAUGCUUGAUGUACAUAUAAAACACAAGUAGUAUUAGUAGUUGUCGUAGUAGUACUGCAACUACCGAUUCCCAUUCAAACUUGUCUAGUAAUGCAGAGACUUUGACUAUUUCUUUGAAAGACACGGCCAAGUGCAUAUGUCAUCUCGAUCAAUGAAGAAACCAGGGAAUAUACCCGCUUCCACUAUUUCCAGUCAAAGUUCACUUCAAAGUUCAAACUGGAGCUUUAAUAUAUAAAUAGAUAGGUGUUGAUGAUUUCCAGUAUGCCGGCCAAUAUUUCGUUCCAUCUUGGUGCUAACUGACUAGGAUUUGCCCUCACAAAGGCGAUUCAGGAAGAAUGUUACCUAGCACUUGCCAUUUGAUUCAGUUGCUUACCAUGCUCAUGUUGUUCCUUGUGAUCUGCUUCUGCCUGCUUUCGAGCGGUUUGCCGCAGGUCAAUCCCGCAGCCACCAGAGGCGCCGCAACCGCAACCGGCUUGCCCUAUACCAGUGAGCAUAACCACUCCCCACGGAGAAACCGUAUACUCUACCAACCCCCCUGUAUCUCCCAGUGCCCGGACGGCCCCUUUUCACCUUCUAACGGCCAGCCCAAAGGCUACAUACCGAUCGCUCCCUGCGAACCACCGAUCUGCUGAUAAGAAUGGUACUGGUUCUAGACUAUGGAGCGUGCGAAUAUAUGGAUGGCCACUGGUCCGAGGCAUCUGUCAUUUGGACAAGCUGGUUUUAUUAAUGUUUCCACGAUCCAUUGCGCACCAAGUCUUCCGCCUAUAAGUUUAGCAUUCAUCACCAUACAUCAACUAUUUACUUCUGCAACUGUAGUUUGCUUAUCGAGAUUAUACCUUGUAAUUUCUAAGAUGUUUUUUUUAAGUAAUUGAAGAUUUGUUUUCUUAAUUUGGGAGAACCUGAAGUUUGCCAUUUCAAUUUUAUAUAUUAGUGAAAGAAUAUACAUGAGCUUGCCAUUUCAAUUUUAUAGGCAGAAAUUGAGUGCCAUGUACCAGCAAAUAAAGCCCAACUCUGCUCCAAAAGCCCAGUCAAUAUAUAUUUUGAAGUUUUUCUGAA